UCUAUUUCAUUUUUUUCUAAGUGACAAAAUUAUCUAUGAAGUUAACACUUACAACCUCACUUCUACUUGAAGUAGUAUGAGUUUUCAACCAUUGGAUGAAUUUUCCAUCAUCUUCCCAAUCAUACAAUCCUGGAUCCAUAUAACUUAAUAGGAUAGGUUGAAUUACAUUAGAAUAAGCCAAUUCCUUUGUUCCUAAAUUGAAAAAUCUCACUUUUUUUUCUUUUAAUUCAUUCUAUGGUUGUGGGUUUAGAAUCUCAUCUUUUGAAUAGUGAGAUGAAUUUUUUUCUAAAAAUAAUCCAUGGGAUUGAAUGAAGAUUUUUGUGAGGUUUUUUAGUAGACCAUAAAUAAUAUGGGAUUUUUUACUACCUCAAUCAAUCUUUGCACUUGUUGCCCUUAAUCAUGGUCUACCUAGAAGCAAUGGAUAUGAAUUUUUGUUAAGAUGCAUGUAUAUAACAUAGAAUGUGAGGGAAUACUCUUCAC
Molecule: long non-coding RNA, 480 nt
Filed under: Physcomitrium patens
Lineage: Eukaryota; Viridiplantae; Streptophyta; Bryopsida; Funariales; Funariaceae
Description: long non-coding RNA (PPAT_LNC000504)
Source: RNAcentral